RNAcentral lists this ribosomal RNA (292 nucleotides) under uncultured bacterium. Its description in RNAcentral is "partial 16S ribosomal RNA". It matches the Rfam family "Bacterial small subunit ribosomal RNA", at positions 505 to 796 of the family's 1533-position model. The record is from RNAcentral.
GUGUCAGCAGCCGCGGUAAGACGUAGGGGACGAGCGUUGUCCGGAUUCAUUGGGCGUAAAGCGCGCGUAGGCGGUUUGGUAAGUCGGAUGUGAAAACCAGAGGCUCAACCUCUGGCCUGCAUCCGAUACUGCCCGACUAGAGGUAGGUAGGGGAGAUCGGAAUUCCUGGUGUAGCGGUGAAAUGCGCAGAUAUCAGGAGGAACACCGGUGGCGAAGGCGGAUCUCUGGGCCUUACCUGACGCUGAGGCGCGAAAGCUAGGGGAGCAAACAGGAUUAGAUACCCUGGUAGUCC